UUAGAUACCCUGGUAGUCCACACAGUAAACGAUGAAUACUCGCUGUUUGCGAUAUACAGUAAGCGGCCAAGCGAAAGCAUUAAGUAUUCCACCUGGGGAGUACGCCGGCAACGGUGAAACUCAAAGGAAUUGACGGGGGCCCGCACAAGCGGAGGAACAUGUGGUUUAAUUCGAUGAUACGCGAGGAACCUUACCCGGGCUUAAAUUGCACCUGAAUAACGUGGAAACAUG
Molecule: ribosomal RNA, 231 nt
Filed under: uncultured bacterium
Lineage: Bacteria
Description: partial 16S ribosomal RNA
Rfam family: Bacterial small subunit ribosomal RNA
Source: RNAcentral